This 207-nucleotide long non-coding RNA is filed under the name Lathyrus oleraceus (garden pea). Its description in RNAcentral is "Pisum sativum (pea) long non-coding RNA (PSAT_LNC034864)". The record is from RNAcentral. Lineage: Eukaryota; Viridiplantae; Streptophyta; Magnoliopsida; Fabales; Fabaceae.
CUCUGUAUAUCACUUCUUUAACAUGAAGAAUGUCUCUAUCAAAGCCGAUUUUACCAUUUUGAAAACUAAUAUCAUUUCUUGUGUCAAGUUUUCCUAAGAACUAUUAUGAUCAUGGUCAUGAUCAGAUUCUAAAUUUGAGAGCUUCAACUUCUUCCAACAAGUUUGAAUAAGCUUUCAUGACUAAUUUUAUCAAUGUUGAUGUUAAAC